GAUGAACGCUAGCGGCAGGCCUAACACAUGCAAGUCGAGGGGUAACAGGGAUUGCUUGCAAUCCGCUGACGACCGGCGCACGGGUGCGGAACGCGUAUGGAACCUGCCCCUGUCAGGGGAAUAGCCCAGAGAAAUUUGGAUUAAUGCCCCAUGGUAUUGUAUUGACACAUGUUGAUAUAAUUAAAGAUUUAUCGGACAGGGAUGGCCAUGCGUACCAUUAGUUAGUUGGUAAGGUAACGGCUUACCAAGACAACGAUGGUUAGGGGCCCUGAGAGGGGGAUCCCCCACACUGGUACUGAGACACGGACCAGACUCCUACGGGAGGCAGCAGUGAGGAAUAUUGGACAAUGGAGGCGACUCUGAUCCAGCCAUGCCGCGUGCAGGAUGACGGCCCUAUGGGUUGUAAACUGCUUUUGUACGGGAAGAAACCCGCCUACGUGUAGGCGGCUGACGGUACCGUAAGAAUAAGGACCGGCUAACUCCG
Molecule: ribosomal RNA, 484 nt
Filed under: uncultured Flavobacteriaceae bacterium
Lineage: Bacteria; Pseudomonadati; Bacteroidota; Flavobacteriia; Flavobacteriales; Flavobacteriaceae
Description: bacterial SSU rRNA
Rfam family: Bacterial small subunit ribosomal RNA
Source: RNAcentral